This 181-nucleotide non-coding RNA is filed under the name human gut metagenome. The record is from RNAcentral.
GCAUCGGUUGCGCGGGAAGCCGCGCAUCAAAAGGGAAUCGGGUGCAAAUCCCGAGCAGUCCUGCUGCCGUGUGGAACGAGGACGCUUCCGUGCGCCGCUAAUGCGGCGCGGCCACUGGGGGAAACCCUGGGAAGGUGGAAGUACAGUCUGUUGACGUCCGAGCCGGAAGACCUGCCGAUGC